UACGUAGGGGGCAAGCGUUGUCCGGAAUCAUGGGGCGUAAAGAGCGUGUAGGCGGUUCGGUAAGUCGGCUGUGAAAGUCCAGGGCUCAACCCUGGGAUGCCGGUCGAUACUGCCGGACUAGAGUUCGGAAGAGGCGAGUGGAAUUCCCGGUGUAGCGGUGAAAUGCGCAGAUAUCGGGAGGAACACCUAUGGCGAAGGCAGCUCGCUGGGACGUUACUGACGCUGAUGCGCGAAAGCCAGGGGAGCGAACGGG
RNAcentral lists this ribosomal RNA (253 nucleotides) under uncultured bacterium. Its description in RNAcentral is "partial 16S ribosomal RNA". It matches the Rfam family "Bacterial small subunit ribosomal RNA", at positions 524 to 776 of the family's 1533-position model. The record is from RNAcentral.